RNAcentral lists this unclassified non-coding RNA (1107 nucleotides) under Hevea brasiliensis (rubber tree). Lineage: Eukaryota; Viridiplantae; Streptophyta; Magnoliopsida; Malpighiales; Euphorbiaceae. The record is from RNAcentral.
ACCUCUGGACUUUCCUUUGAAGAAAGAAUUCACAAAAUUGAAUCAGGCAUACCCACGUACUUACGGGAACACGCUAAAGAACAACAUCAUUAGUCCCUCCACUGACUUGCCACCAUCAUUUGUCUAUCUUUUUCUAGCUUUCAGGAAUGAUCAUUAUGAUAAGCUAUUUUACUGUGAAGCGCACCAAGCUUUUCUUAAAAAAAUCCCUUGGUUGAUUCUGAAAUCGGAUGAAUACUUCAUUCCAUCUUUCUUCCUGAUCCCGCUUUCGGGCAAGAGCUAGACAAGAUGUUCCCUGACAAAGAAACUGUUUUUCACCACUUGGGUAGGUAUCUUUUCCACCCUUCAAAUCAGGCAUGGGGACUCAUCACUAGCUUCUAUCGCUCUAAUUUAGCCAAGGCUGACGAAAGAAUUAGUUUGCAAAUACCCCUAUUUGAUACUGAAGCUACUCCAUUCCAAAUUGUGAUGGAUCAAAUUUUAGCUUGUAUUUUAAAGGAGAACCUGCUGCCAGAAGUAGAUAAGGAAAGGUUCCUAGCAUCCCCAUCCAAAAACCAGACAUCAAAAGCUAUACUAAUAGCAUCUCUAUAUCCAGAAUUCUAUGAGAAUUUAGGGAACAUGUACUGGACAUUUCCAACUUUGUCUGGAGACUUAGUUGGGGUUUACCAGCCUAGCCAUGAGCAGUAUCAACACUUUGGGGAUAGUAUGCACAAUGUGAAGGCAUGGGUUGAAAUGAAUCUCCUGAGUUUGUGUGAUGUUUUUGUGAUAAGCUCUUGGUCAGCCUUCGGUUAUGUGGCUCAAGGCCUUGGAGGUUUGAAGCCAUGGAUUCUUUACAAGCCUGAUAACCAGGUGACCCCUAAUCCAGCUUGCUAGAAUGCCAUUUCAAUGGGGCCUUGUUACCAUUUUGCACCCAGUUUUGACUGUAAGGCGAAGGUGAAAGCAGAUAUGGGCACAAUUUUUCCUCAUGUCAAGCACUGUGAGGAUGCAACUUCAGGACUGAAACUGGUUAACAAUUAUAAUGGUUCUAGUUAAGAGUUUAAUAAUUAAAUCUGUAAUUUUCUCUAACUUAAUGAUUGUAGCUGCCUCCUUCCACAUGACAAAAUUACACUGGGC